GGAAAGGUGGCCGAGUGGCCGAUGGCAGCUGACUGCUAAUCAGUUGGUCCGGGUGACUGGGCCCGGGGGUUCGAAUCCCCCCCUUUCCGCCA
This 92-nucleotide transfer RNA is filed under the name Candidatus Goldiibacteriota bacterium HGW-Goldbacteria-1. RNAcentral describes it as "Candidatus Goldbacteria bacterium HGW-Goldbacteria-1 tRNA-Ser". It matches the Rfam family "tRNA". From Rfam's summary of the family: Transfer RNA (tRNA) molecules are approximately 80 nucleotides in length. Their secondary structure includes four short double-helical elements and three loops (D, anti-codon, and T loops). Further hydrogen bonds mediate the characteristic L-shaped molecular structure. tRNAs have two regions of fundamental functional importance: the anti-codon, which is responsible for specific mRNA codon recognition, and the 3' end, to which the tRNAs corresponding amino acid is attached (by aminoacyl-tRNA synthetases). tRNAs cope with the degeneracy of the genetic code in two manners: having more than one tRNA (with a specific anti-codon) for a particular amino acid; and 'wobble' base-pairing, i.e. permitting non-standard base-pairing at the 3rd anti-codon position. Lineage: Bacteria; Candidatus Goldiibacteriota. The record is from RNAcentral.